RNAcentral lists this transfer RNA (76 nucleotides) under Deltaproteobacteria bacterium. Its description in RNAcentral is "tRNA-Thr". It matches the Rfam family "tRNA". From Rfam's summary of the family: Transfer RNA (tRNA) molecules are approximately 80 nucleotides in length. Their secondary structure includes four short double-helical elements and three loops (D, anti-codon, and T loops). The record is from RNAcentral. Lineage: Bacteria; Pseudomonadati; Myxococcota; Myxococcia.
GCCAACUUAGCUCAGCUGGUAGAGCAGCUGAUUCGUAAUCAGCAGGUCGGGAGUUCAAGUCUCCCAGUUGGCUCCA